GACGAACCGUGCGAACGUUGUUCGGAUUCACUGGGCUUAAAGGGCGCGUAGGCGGGCAACCAAGUCAGGGGUGAAAUCUUUCGGCUCAACCGGAAAACAGCCUCUGAUACUGGUCGUCUGGAGGGAGGUAGGGGUCUGUGGAACUUCUGGUGGAGCGGUGAAAUGCGUAGAUAUCAGAAGGAACGCCGGUGGCGAAAGCGACGGACUGGACCUCUUCUGACGCUGAGGCGCGAAAGCUAGGGGAGCAAACGGGAUUAGAAACCCCCGUAGUCC
Molecule: ribosomal RNA, 273 nt
Filed under: uncultured bacterium
Lineage: Bacteria
Description: partial 16S ribosomal RNA
Rfam family: Bacterial small subunit ribosomal RNA
Source: RNAcentral